Molecule: transfer RNA, 74 nt
Filed under: Candidatus Electryoneaceae bacterium
Lineage: Bacteria; Pseudomonadati; Candidatus Electryoneota; Candidatus Electryoneia; Candidatus Electryoneales; Candidatus Electryoneaceae
Description: tRNA-Arg
Rfam family: tRNA
About the family: Transfer RNA (tRNA) molecules are approximately 80 nucleotides in length. Their secondary structure includes four short double-helical elements and three loops (D, anti-codon, and T loops).
Source: RNAcentral
GCGCCUGUAGCUCAACAGGAUAGAGCAACGGCCUUCUAAGCCGUAGGUUUCGAGUUCGAGUCUCGGCAGGCGUA